CCUACGGGUGGCAGCAGUCGAGAAUCAUUCACAAUGGGGGAAACCCUGAUGGUGCGACGCCGCGUGGGGGAAUGAAGGUCUUCGGAUUGUAAACCCCUGUCAUGUGGGAGCAAAUUAAAAAGAUAGUACCACAAGAGGAAGAGACGGCUAACUCUGUGCCAGCAGCCGCGGUAAUACAGAGGUCUCAAGCGUUGUUCGGAAUCACUCGGCGGAAAGCGUGCGUAGGCUGUUUCGUAAGGCGUGUGUGAAAGGCGCGGGCUCAACCCGCGGAAGGCACAUGAUACUGCGAGACUAGAGUAAUGGAGGGGGAACCGGAAUUCUCGGUGUAGCAGUGAAAUGCGUAGAUAUCGAGAGGAACACUCGUGGCGAAGGCGGGUUCCUGGACAUUAACUGACGCUGAGGCACGAAGGCCAGGGGAGCGAAAGGGAUUAGAUACCCCAGUAGUC
This 446-nucleotide ribosomal RNA is filed under the name uncultured bacterium. RNAcentral's name for it is "partial 16S ribosomal RNA". It matches the Rfam family "Bacterial small subunit ribosomal RNA", at positions 338 to 795 of the family's 1533-position model. The record is from RNAcentral.